CUGCAGUGCUGCCACGGCCGCACGGGUUCGAGAGUUUGAUUCUGCAGAUCAGUUGGGCACCCCAGAUGGGACACUCUCUGUUUGGCUGCAGGACCAGUUGAGGAGGGAGACGCCUUUGGCGCGCCCCGAGAAUUCUUGGAAGGACUCCCCCUGCUCAUCCGAUCACUGCGGGGACAGACGGGGACCAUGUGGAAGCGGAACAGAUAAAAGGCUGGUGAUGUUUCUUACUGGUGCUUAAAAACAAACACUCCAAAGCCCACGGAAAGAUCACCACCUCCAACCACAAAGCUACCAGAGGAACUGUAGAGCAUAACAGCUUCUAUAGCUACUGCUAUUGGAGCACUUUGAUCUGAAGGGCCUGCAAAGACAAUCACUCAAUCUGUCAGGCCUCCCCUGCCUCAUUUCCAACCUUCCCCUCAGCAAGCAGCUUUCUACCUCAGUCUUUAGUUUCUGAAAAAUCCUCAAGUGUGGCAUUCCAAAUCUGCCAACUCUGGUAUUCUUGAGCAACUCCAUCCUGUAAAGGCCCACCUUACUGCCUUUCCAACCUGUGCACUGAAUUGCAAUGACAUGUCAGUAUCAGAUCCCUCAGCACUGUGCUGAGCCUCACCUUACUCAUACUCACCCACUGGACGUUACUCAGCUUCAGCAAUCGUGUUUCUGCUACAGAAGGGCUUGCCGGAUAUCUGUAGUAUUGAUCUGGCCCGAAGGUGACAACCUUCCAACCUGCUGGUCUCUGCCCAUGUUCUCUGUCACAACAUCGGAUGUGUGUGCUCGCUGGAUGCACUGGUAAGAAAUGUUUUUGAGAAGAGAACCUCGUGCUUCCCAGAGCAGUAAGACUGUGAGGAUUUGGGAGGCUCUUCACAAACCUGGUUAGAGUGUGCUUUCCCAGACGGCGUGCUGUUAAAGCAGCCUUUCUCAAAAGCAAAGCGUUGUGCCUGGUGUGACUUAAAUCCCACCCACAAAGGAGCAUUCCCUGCAGUCUCUGAUCUCAGGACUGGAGGGGGAGCUUUUCUUCACACCUUGCUGUGUAUGAAACUUGAACUACACUCGAGAAGGGCAGAAAUGUAGCUGACCAGAGCCUCCAACAGCUCAGCCUUUUUCUUCAAACUAUGAAGAAGGCUUUAAUAUUCGGAUUGCUGUCCUGGCCCAGAGCUCUGUUCCCUCAUGGGCUGCACUCGUUUUGCUAUCCCACCAUUUGGGUUGCACAGGCCAUCCACGUCCAGUGUUCCCAUCCUCCUGGGCCUCCACACACAUGGCAGUUAGCAAGAAAGAGCAAAGUUGUUCCACCUUGUCCUAAAGUUAUCAAUCUGUUCAUCCAACCUGUGCCUUGGUCACAGUGGCAGCGUGCCGUUAGCAAUGCCAUCACUGCACUCAGGUCACAAGCUCUGACAGCAGGCACUGGGGAUAAUUUCAGGUGAGGCCGUUCUUCACAUCCAGGCACACGGAUGGUAUGUUUUUCCAAAUGGACCGUGCUGGUAGGCGGGUAAAUCCAGUCGUGCAGGAUCUGCAAAAUAAAAUUAUGUACUACGUACAUAGUUUUCCAGAGUGGUGGUGAUGUGAGGUGGAUCUCCUUUUCUCACAAUUGUUUUUAAAACUGACAAUAUCAGUAAUUGUUCUGUCAUGGGUUUGAAUUAAAUCUUGGAUUUAAUUAAAUCUUGUUCACCGCUGUUGAACGGAAUUUGAUUCAUCCUUGAUAAUCUGCAUCCAUUACUCCUCUCGUGACAUGAGUUUUCUUCCUCCAAAACCCAGGGGAACCUUUUUCUUUCCAUGUUUUUGCCAGAAGCUCCAAUUGGCAAGUGCUCCAUUUGCAGACAUGUUUAACUCUGUUUCUGCUUUUUGCAUGGGCCCUAAGUCUGAGGCCCUUUGAAGAGCCUUUGUUGCUAAUUCAAAGGCAACCUGCUGUUUGUUUCCCCCUCCAACUCUUCCUUGUCACUUUGUAUAUAAACAACAGGGUUAAAAUUUGUCCUACGUAUGGAACGUGCUGUCUCCAAAAACCAAACAGCCCAAUACACUGCUGUGCCUCGUUCUUAUUACAGGGUACUGCCAAGUCUAAAACGUUGUGUUGAGUUUUGAGUAGUAUUCCCCAAUGCCCAAAAUGCCUCUGAAUUCCUAAAAAUGUCACUUUUUGAAUUUCAGUAGGAUGAAUUUCCCAGCCUUUCUGUUUCAUCUGAUCCACAACCAAUUCCAGCAUUUGUUGCACCCCUUCCUCGGUUUCCCUGAGUCAGGACGUCAUCUACAUAAUGAACUGUUUGCAUGUGAGGAGGCAGUUUGGUGUCAUGCAGAUGUUCAGCCACAGUUCUGUGGCAGAUGGUUGGGCUGUGCAGCCGUCCCUGAGGCCAUCUACAGACAGGAUCUUGUCACCUCUGCCACGGGAAGGCGUUCCUCUGCAGUCAGGACUGUGAAGAAGCUAGCAUUAGCUAAAUCAAUUACAGCAUGCCCUGCUCUGGAAUGGUUCUGAGCUUUUUCUGUUAAAGCAACACUACCUGCUGCAGCUGCUGUGAGAGGCGGGGUGAGCUUGUUUAAUUCCUCCCACAACCCACCGCUUUUUGACAGGCCAUGUUGGAUUGUUCCGAGCUGUAGUAGCUGACUUAAAACUCCUGCACCCAAUAAAUCAUUAAUUGUCCUUGAUAUCUCUUCAUGCUCCCCCCCCCCCCAGGUCCUGUACUGUUUCACUGUCACUACUUCAGUUGCAGCAGGAAUCUGCACAGCAGGCAUUGUUACUUUUCCCACUGAAAUUGUUGGAGCACGAAUGCAAUUCCUUAUUCCAAACUGGGGCUGAGCACUGGGGAGAUUCAGUGUUAGUCAUUUUAGAAUGCCCAUCCCUGCGAUGUAUUCUGGGGCGGGGACAGUCAUCACAGGAUGCAGUCGUUGUGGGGGGUUUCCUAUUCUCAUUUCUAUUUGUGUUUGUACAGCUUCAGGUUGUUUCCCUCCCAACCCUAUAAUAGCUACCAGUUGUCCUUCACGUUUCUUGGGGUUCCCAUAUGUUAAGGAGGCCUCUGCUCCGGGGUCAUUUAAGGCUCUUACAGUUUGUGAGGACCCGUUUUUCCAAAAUAUUUGGAGCUCCACGAGGGGUUGUUGGUCCUGCACCUGUUGCAUUGGAGCUUGGCCAUCGUUUCAUUCUUGUCUUUACGUGGAGCUGCUUCCCUAGCCUCCUUCCAAGUAUACAAACUGGAGCAUGGUUCCCAGUCCUUUUCCCCCAGAGCAGCUGAUCCUCUCGCGUUGGGCCCUGUGAGCAGAUGAGAUUCCCAUUGAGGCUCUCAAGGGAGUGCAGUAGCUGGAAUUGUUCCUGGACCGUUUGCUUUAGAAUGUGGCAUUUUCUUGCUAGGUUUCUUAACCCCUCUGUUUAUGUAUCCUCUGUAAUUCAGGAAUUGGGAAACCAUCCAUCUUACUGUGAGGCAUCCUGUCUUGUAAUAAAGCUGUAAACACUUA
Long non-coding RNA from Tympanuchus pallidicinctus (lesser prairie-chicken), 3429 nucleotides. RefSeq lists it as uncharacterized. The transcript has 7 exons. The record is from RefSeq and is a predicted model, not a curated record. Lineage: Eukaryota; Metazoa; Chordata; Aves; Galliformes; Phasianidae.